CGCAGUGACAGGUGGUGCAUGGCUGUCGUCAGCUCGUGUCGUGAGAUGUUGGGUUAAGUCCGCAAACGAGCGCAACCCACGUCUUUAGUUGCCAGCAUUUAGUUGGGCACUCUAGAGAGACCGCCGGUGAUAAACCGGAGGAAGGUGUGGAUGACGUCAAGUCAUCAUGCCCCUUACAUCCUGGGCUACACACGUACUACAAUGCUACGGACAAAGGGCAGCAAGUUCGCGAGGACAAGCAAAUCCCAUAAACCGUAGCUCAGUUCAGAUCGUAGGCUGCAACUCGCCUACGUGAAGGAGGAAUCGCUAGUAAUCGCAGGUCAGCAUACUGCGGUGAAUACGUUCCCGGGCCUUGUACACACCGCCCGUCACACCAUGGAAGUUGGCCACGCCCGAAGCCGUUACUCCAACCCUUGUGGAGGAGGACGUCGAAGGUGGGGCUGAUGACUGGGGUG
RNAcentral lists this ribosomal RNA (455 nucleotides) under uncultured bacterium. RNAcentral's name for it is "bacterial SSU rRNA". It matches the Rfam family "Bacterial small subunit ribosomal RNA", at positions 1027 to 1482 of the family's 1533-position model. The record is from RNAcentral.